Triticum aestivum (bread wheat) is the source of this 1995-nucleotide long non-coding RNA. RefSeq lists it as uncharacterized. The transcript has 11 exons. The record is from RefSeq and is a predicted model, not a curated record. Lineage: Eukaryota; Viridiplantae; Streptophyta; Magnoliopsida; Poales; Poaceae.
UUCUCGGUACCGGGGUGGGUGGGUCAUGAGUGCACGUUCCCCGCUUCACUCCCCUCUCCAUCCUCUUUGAUUCCCCAUCCACCGCCGCCUCCUCUCAUGCCUCACCGCCGGCCUCCUCUAUGCCUCUUCCUCUACCUCUCGGACGACGCCUAGCUACGGCGCUCAAUGGCCACCCGUGCGACAUCCUGCAUCUGGCGCGGGAGCGUGUGGUGGUGACGAGCCGAGCCGUCUUUGUGGCGGCGUCCGGACGGGGCCGGGCGCAAGGUGGAGCUGCGGCCGGCGACCCGGCACCAGCGCAUGCCCGGCGGUGGGACCAUCUUCGCCGUGGCCGGUGGGGGGUUGGGCGGCAGCAAGCGGUGCAGCGAGGGGAGGCGCACGGGCGAGAGGGGUGGGGCUCUUGCUAGCCGCUCUCCCGUUCCCGUUGGUUUCUUGCCGCCACGGUGGCGUUUCACAGAUCGAGAUGGAUGGCGCGACGAUGACCAUGGCGCAGGGUCGUGAUGUGAUCCACCCUGUGAAGAGGGUAAUUUCUGCUUGUGAUUUGGGCAAGGAUCUGGGUGCUCUUCGUUUGCUCACUGUGUUUGUUCCUAGGUCAGCACCGCUGUUGUCAGCGGGUAGAAUGGUCGACUGGCCAUGGAGCCCUCUGCGAGCAGGUGAGCUUAAUUUCUAGGGGUAUGAGGUGAUUCUGGUCACCUCCGGCGCCGUCGGCGUCGGGAGGUAGAGGCUCAUGUACCGAAAGCUCAUCAACAGCAGUUUCGCUGAUCUGCAGAACCCACAGUUCGACCUGGAUGGGAAGGUCUACGCUGCCGUCGGCCAGAGUGGCCUCAUGGCUAUUUACGAUACACUGCUUAGCCAAGUUGUUCGUCGUCUGUGUUGUUAGCCAGCAAGUCCGUGUCGUUAGCCAGCAAGUUGGGUAAUUCUUCUGUUGCUUCAUGGAUUUUCCUGCACGUUGUGUCUGUAUUAUUGUCACUGAAGAUAUACCUCAACUGAAGAUCUAGCUCACGACAAUUAUGUACCUAAGGCUCGGAUGCAAGGUGCGAGUCAACAAUGCCAGUAGUGAGUCGAGAGAAGUGGAGAAGAGGGUCCCUCCAGGCUCCAUACAUGAAUGGUGGUGGCAUGUGGCAAUGUCGGGGAAAGCAAGGAAGAUGUUGUUGUACAUCGUCGAACAUAUAAACCCUGGUGGCCAAACUAAAUGUUUUAUAUUCCUUUGGGAAAAUUUUAAGGAAAUCCCCCCAAACAAAUUAUUCAGGUUAGAAGGAACAACUUUCACAUAGAAAGCACAUUGUAUCAAACUUCAGAUAAGUCUUGAUGCACCCUUCAGGCUGCAUGAUUAAUGCCUGUAAUUUACCUAAGCUAUCAACAAAUGGUUAGUUGCUGAGUUUACAUGCAGUUAUGAAAGUUAGAGCACAUACAUGCUUGAUUUUACUUCCUUUAAUACAGGGCAUUCUAUAAUUACUAAGAACUGAUUUGUUGAAGUGUGCCUCCCUAUUUUGUCCAGAUAACUACUUCAGGUUAGGCAGGAGAAAUAAAAAGGGUAACCAUAGAUAUAUGGUCUAGCAUCACGAGGUUCAGGUUCCUGCUGUUGAUCAACCAUUGCUUCAGUCGAGAGAUUAAAGAAGACUGAAAUAUGGGCUCAAGCGAUUGCUAUGUCCGACCUGCACAAGAAUGCCAAGAAGUCUUUCUCGGAGAUGAUUAAGGACAUGUACCUGCACUACAACGAGAGAUCUGAGCUGCUUCUUUGUGGCUUCCAAACUUGAAAUGUUUGUUUGGAAGUUAGUUUAGUUUUUUGUUUUGGAUUCACAGCUUCUCACAUGUACCAUCCUCUUAGACCUUUAGAUUUCCAAAGAAACUAAAUGAAGAUAUGGUGGUAUGGUCUCAAUAGUACAACUUAAAUCUUUCUAUGCUUUAUAUUUGCUCUGAAAUUUGCUCUUGAAGAAUCAUGUAUCUAUGUUAGAUCCCGUGAGCUUUAUAUUUGCUCUGAAAUUUGUUCUUGAAGCA